This 2649-nucleotide ribosomal RNA is filed under the name Staphylococcus haemolyticus. Its description in RNAcentral is "23S ribosomal RNA". It matches the Rfam family "Bacterial large subunit ribosomal RNA". Lineage: Bacteria; Bacillati; Bacillota; Bacilli; Caryophanales; Staphylococcaceae. The record is from RNAcentral.
AGAUUAAGUUAUUAAGGGCGCACGGUGGAUGCCUUGGCACUAGAAGCCGACGAAGGACGUUACUAACGACGAUAUGCUUUGGGUAGCUGUAAGUAAGCGUUGAUCCAGAGAUUUCCGAAUGGGGGAACCCAGCACGAGUUAUGUCGUGUUAUCGACAAGUGAAUUCAUAGCUUGUCAGAAGGCAGACCCGGAGAACUGAAACAUCUUAGUACCCGGAGGAAGAGAAAGAAAAAUCGAUUCCCUGAGUAGCGGCGAGCGAAACGGGAAGAGCCCAAACCAAUAAGCUUGCUUAUUGGGGUUGUAGGACACUCUAUACGGAGUUACAAAGGAAUAUAUUAGACGAAUCAUCUGGAAAGUUGAAUCAAAGAAGGUAAUAAUCCUGUAGUUGAAAAUAUAUUCUCUCUUGAGUGGAUCCUGAGUACGACGGAGCACGUGAAAUUCCGUCGGAAUCUGGGAGGACCAUCUCCUAAGGCUAAAUACUCUCUAGUGACCGAUAGUGAACCAGUACCGUGAGGGAAAGGUGAAAAGUACCCCGGAAGGGGAGUGAAAGAGAACUUGAAACCGUGUGCUUACAAGUAGUCAGAGCCCGUUAAUGGGUGAUGGCGUGCCUUUUGUAGAAUGAACCGGCGAGUUACGAUCUGAUGCAAGGUUAAGCAGGAGAUGUGGAGCCGUAGCGAAAGCGAGUCUGAAUAGGGCGUUGAGUAUUUGGUCGUAGACCCGAAACCAGGUGAUCUACCCAUGGUCAGGUUGAAGUUCAGGUAACACUGAAUGGAGGACCGAACCGACUUACGUUGAAAAGUGAGCGGAUGAACUGUGGGUAGCGGAGAAAUUCCAAUCGAACUUGGAGAUAGCUGGUUCUCUCCGAAAUAGCUUUAGGGCUAGCCUCAAGUGAUGAUUAUUGGAGGUAGAGCACUGUUUGGACGAGGGGCCCCUCUCGGGUUACCGAAUUCAGACAAACUCCGAAUGCCAAUUAAUUUAACUUGGGAGUCAGAACAUGGGUGAUAAGGUCCGUGUUCGAAAGGGAAACAGCCCAGACCACCAGCUAAGGUCCCAAAAUAUAUGUUAAGUGGAAAAGGAUGUGGCGUUGCCCAGACAACUAGGAUGUUGGCUUAGAAGCAGCCAUCAUUUAAAGAGUGCGUAAUAGCUCACUAGUCGAGUGACACUGCGCCGAAAAUGUACCGGGGCUAAACAUAUUACCGAAGCUGUGGAUUGUCCGUAGGACAAUGGUAGGAGAGCGUUCUAAGGGCGUUGAAGCAUGAUCGCAAGGACAUGUGGAGCGCUUAGAAGUGAGAAUGCCGGUGUGAGUAGCGAAAGACGGGUGAGAAUCCCGUCCACCGAUUGACUAAGGUUUCCAGAGGAAGGCUCGUCCGCUCUGGGUUAGUCGGGUCCUAAGCUGAGGCCGACAGGCGUAGGCGAUGGAUAACAGGUUGAUAUUCCUGUACCACCUAGCAUCGUUUUAAUCGAUGGGGGGACGCAGUAGGAUAGGCGAAGCGUACGAUUGGAUUGUACGUCCANNNNNNNNNNNNNNNNNNNNNNNNNNNNNNNNNNNNNNNNNNNNNNNNNNNNNNNNNNNNNNNNNNNNNNNNNNNNNNNNNNNNNNNNNNNNNNNNNGGUUAGCUUCUGCGAAGCUACGAAUCGAAGCCCCAGUAAACGGCGGCCGUAACUAUAACGGUCCUAAGGUAGCGAAAUUCCUUGUCGGGUAAGUUCCGACCCGCACGAAAGGCGUAACGAUUUGGGCACUGUCUCAACGAGAGACUCGGUGAAAUCAUAGUACCUGUGAAGAUGCAGGUUACCCGCGACAGGACGGAAAGACCCCGUGGAGCUUUACUGUAGCCUGAUAUUGAAAUUCGGCACAGCUUGUACAGGAUAGGUAGGAGCCUUUGAAACGUGAGCGCUAGCUUACGUGGAGGCGCUGGUGGGAUACUACCCUAGCUGUGUUGGCUUUCUAACCCGCACCACUUAUCGUGGUGGGAGACAGUGUCAGGCGGGCAGUUUGACUGGGGCGGUCGCCUCCUAAAAGGUAACGGAGGCGCUCAAAGGUUCCCUCAGAAUGGUUGGAAAUCAUUCAUAGAGUGUAAAGGCAUAAGGGAGCUUGACUGCGAGACCUACAAGUCGAGCAGGGUCGAAAGACGGACUUAGUGAUCCGGUGGUUCCGCAUGGAAGGGCCAUCGCUCAACGGAUAAAAGCUACCCCGGGGAUAACAGGCUUAUCUCCCCCAAGAGUUCACAUCGACGGGGAGGUUUGGCACCUCGAUGUCGGCUCAUCGCAUCCUGGGGCUGUAGUCGGUCCCAAGGGUUGGGCUGUUCGCCCAUUAAAGCGGUACGCGAGCUGGGUUCAGAACGUCGUGAGACAGUUCGGUCCCUAUCCGUCGUGGGCGUAGGAAAUUUGAGAGGAGCUGUCCUUAGUACGAGAGGACCGGGAUGGACAUACCUCUGGUGUACCAGUUGUCGUGCCAACGGCAUAGCUGGGUAGCUAUGUAUGGACGGGAUAAGUGCUGAAAGCAUCUAAGCAUGAAGCCCCCCUCAAGAUGAGAUUUCCCAACUUCGGUUAUAAGAUCCCUCAAAGAUGAUGAGGUUAAUAGGUUCGAGGUGGAAGCGUGGUGACACGUGGAGCUGACGAAUACUAAUCGAUCGAAGACUUAAUCAAUUU